Molecule: long non-coding RNA, 2532 nt
Organism: Ruditapes philippinarum (Manila clam)
Lineage: Eukaryota; Metazoa; Mollusca; Bivalvia; Venerida; Veneridae
Exons: 3
Source: RefSeq, a predicted model, not a curated record
UUCAUUUAGGUAAAUAAAUACUACAAUAUACAUCCACUGAGAUUUUACACUACACAGAUCAGAGCUCUGAUAAAACUCAACUGACCAGCAGUUUCCCACCAUCUUAAACUCUUUGCAUGACUAAUUUACUCCACUGGUCAUUCCAACAGAUCAGGCUGUUCCAUUGAAUUAUUUUGGGGAGAGAUAACAUUAUAAAUUUCAUAUGCAGAAUUUGUCUAGGACAUUGCAAUUUUUUUUUUGCUCAGAAAUUUGUAAUGAUUUUUAAAUUCUAUAUAUAUAUAUCUAUUUGUUACUUGAAUUUUUGUUACAUUCAAUGAAUGGAGGUUGAGAUGAUGAGUAAAUUAACCCUGUUUUACAUAAUGAUUGACCUGUCCAUGCAGUUAUACAGUUGUGAAUUUUGAAUUCUAAGAUAUCUGGGUCAGCAAAAAGAGUGCAAAUAACAGACAUGACAGAGGAUGUACUUGAUAUUUUAACAAUUUUGGAGAUAUGCUUUUGUUUAAGAUCUCAAAGUGUUUUAGUAAAUAAGUGUGAAAACAUGGGACAAGGAGAUGAACAACAUAAUCAGACUGGGAGUUAAGUGCUGACUGUGAGAUGCAAGGUGUUUCAAUAAAGAUGUGCAGUAUUAAUCCUGAAAAGGUGAGCACAACCACAAGAAGUUCUUGGAAACACAGGCAGUGGACUUAAAACAGACAUCAAUUAAAGAAAUAGUAAUUUAAAUAAUCAGAAACAUUUGAAACAAAUUUAUGAUUGAAACACUCUCAGCAAAAAAAUUGCAAAAAAAACAAAGUGUUGGAUUCUAAGAAAACCAGUACUUACCAAAACCUGCAGGUAGAAAAAAGACUGUUUGUGUUAUAGUGAAUGUAUGGUAUUCUAUUCUGUAUUUGGACUAAAGGAUAUGUAUUAAAUUUUGUGAAAGAAAAUUUAAUGUGAUACAUUAUUGAUAAUUUUAUCCCAAAAAAAUGUGAUCAUGUUAAACUCAUAAAAAUUCCGCCCCCAUGAAUUCUGUCCCAGAAUUCCGUCCAGAAUUUUGUUUGACAAUUCCGUUCCAAAAUUCCGUUCCGAAAUUCCGCCCCGAGAUUCCGCUUCAAAAUUCCGCCCCAAGAUUCUGCUUCAAAAUUCCGCCCCAAGAUUCUGCUUCAAAAUUCCGCCCCAACCCAUUUGCAUAUUUCGUCCCAAUUCCGCCCAGAAUCCGUCCCAAAUCCGCCUGGAAUCCGGCCGGAAUCCGUGCCAAAAGCAAAUGGUUUAACACUUGUAUAUUUGGGGGAGAAUUUAAAUUUCUGGGCGGAAUCUGCCAUUGAAUUCCGCCUCAUUUCCGUGCAGAAAAUUUCGUAAAGGUUGGUAGACACUGACUAGAUAAUGUUUCAUGCCAAAUAUUAAGCUCUAGCUCUUUCGGUUUUCUAAAAGAAGAUAUUUUAAGUUGUUGUUUUUUUUGGUUGCCAUGGCAACCAUAGUUCUGUUUGGAAUUAAAUUAUUUGAACAAUUUUGAAGUUGACUACCAUAGGAACAUUUCUGUGAAGUUUGGAUCAAAUUGGCUCAGUCUUUAAUGAGGAGAUGUUGUUUAAAGUAAAAGUUUACGGACGGACGUACGGACGCCGGACGAAAAGCGAUCACAAAAGCUCACCAUGUCACUUUGUGACAGGUUAGCUAAAAAGUACACAGGACGCGUUUUAGACACACACACACACGCACGCACGCACGCACACACACACACACACACACGACGGUUAACAGAUACAAGACUUUUAAAAAAAUAUGCUAGAUCUAUUGUUUUUUCACUGAAUAUUUUCAAAUUUUAGGAAGGCUAAAAUUAUUAUGGAAUACUUUGAGUCUACAAAAGCACACACUUAUUGUCGCUUAUUGAACACUCCAACUCAAACUUAUUCUAAAUAAUAUCAAAUCACUGCCGGUAUUUCUGGACAUUUUGUUGAAUUGUGAGACGGAUUUACUAGCUUAAAGUGUAUAGGCCUACGUUUGAUUGCUCAAACUAGAAAGCAUGAUAUUAUAUUCUUAUAAUUUACAUUUUCAAUGCUGAACGUAAAGUGAAUCAGUUUUCCUUUAUUUAUUUCUUGUCAUGCUUAUAAUGUAGUAUUUGUUAGCGAUUUCUUGUGAAAUUUGAAACCUACGGACAAUUUUAGCGCACGAACAUCGCACCCGAAAUAAGAACGGUAACAUAUUAUUGUAUCCCAUCGAACCUGGUCAAUUAAGUCGUUUUUGAAUAGACGUGAUACAUACGGACAGAAUUCAGACAACUACAGAAUUAUGUAAAUUAAACAUUAAUUAGCGAAGAACCAUUUUUAUAGUCUUCAAGCUCGUGUCCCGCUCCCCUACGACGCGUUGCGCGCUUGAUUGAAAAGCUAUCUAAUCAAAUCACUUCAUUGUUCUUUUUCUCUUUAAAAAAUUAAAAUACGAUAGUAUAUUAUGGUAAUUUAUUAAAUCUUUGUGUGUUAGAAUUUAUAAAGCGAUUACUGACAUUUUCACUUCAAAUGAUUUUGUUUAUUUUAAAUAAUGGUUUGCUAGUAAAAUUGCCUUUGA